CGCUGACGAGUGGCGGACGGGUGAGUAAUGUCUGGGAAACUGCCUGAUGGAGGGGGAUAACUACUGGAAACGGUAGCUAAUACCGCAUAACGUCGCAAGACCAAAGAGGGGGACCUUCGGGCCUCUUGCCAUCGGAUGUGCCCAGAUGGGAUUAGCUAGUAGGUGGGGUAACGGCUCACCUAGGCGACGAUCCCUAGCUGGUCUGAGAGGAUGACCAGCCACACUGGAACUGAGACACGGUCCAGACUCCUACGGGAGGCAGCAGUGGGGAAUAUUGCACAAUGGGCGCAAGCCUGAUGCAGCCAUGCCGCGUGUAUGAAGAAGGCCUUCGGGUUGUAAAGUACUUUCAGCGGGGAGGAAGGGAGUAAAGUUAAUACCUUUGCUCAUUGACGUUACCCGCAGAAGAAGCACCGGCUAACUCCGUGCCAGCAGCCGCGGUAAUACGGAGGGUGCAAGCGUUUAAUCGGAAUUACUGGGCGUAAAGCGCACGCAGGCGGUUUGUUAAGUCAGAUGUGAAAUCCCCGGGCUCAACCUGGGAACUGCAUCUGAUACUGGCAAGCUUGAGUCUCGUAGAGGGGGGUAGAAUUCCAGGUGUAGCGGUGAAAUGCGUAGAGAUCUGGAGGAAUACCGGUGGCGAAGGCGGCCCCCUGGACGAAGACUGACGCUCAGGUGCGAAAGCGUGGGGAGCAAACAGGAUUAGAUACCCUGGUAGUCCACGCCGUAAACGAUGUCGACUUGGAGGUUGUGCCCUUGAGGCGUGGCUUCCGGAGCUAACGCGUUAAGUCGACCGCCUGGGGAGUACGGCCGCAAGGUUAAAACUCAAAUGAAUUGACGGGGGCCCGCACAAGCGGUGGAGCAUGUGGUUUAAUUCGAUGCAACGCGAAGAACCUUACCUGGUCUUGACAUCCACGGAAGUUUUCAGAGAUGAGAAUGUGCCUUCGGGAACCGUGAGACAGGUGCUGCAUGGCUGUCGUCAGCUCGUGUUGUGAAAUGUUGGGUUAAGUCCCGCAACGAGCGCAACCCUUAUCCUUUGUUGCCAGCGGUCCGGCCGGGAACUCAAAGGAGACUGCCAGUGAUAAACUGGAGGAAGGUGGGGAUGACGUCAAGUCAUCAUGGCCCUUACGACCAGGGCUACACACGUGCUACAAUGGCGCAUACAAAGAGAAGCGACCUCGCGAGAGCAAGCGGACCUCAUAAAGUGCGUCGUAGUCCGGAUUGGAGUCUGCAACUCGACUCCAUGAAGUCGGAAUCGCUAGUAAUCGUGGAUCAGAAUGCCACGGUGAAUACGUUCCCGGGCCUUGUACACACCGCCCGUCACACCAUGGGAGUGGGUUGCAAAA
Molecule: ribosomal RNA, 1340 nt
Filed under: Escherichia coli
Lineage: Bacteria; Pseudomonadati; Pseudomonadota; Gammaproteobacteria; Enterobacterales; Enterobacteriaceae
Description: bacterial SSU rRNA
Rfam family: Bacterial small subunit ribosomal RNA
Source: RNAcentral